RNAcentral lists this ribosomal RNA (460 nucleotides) under uncultured bacterium. Its description in RNAcentral is "partial 16S ribosomal RNA". It matches the Rfam family "Bacterial small subunit ribosomal RNA", at positions 338 to 795 of the family's 1533-position model. The record is from RNAcentral.
CCUACGGGAGGCAGCAGUGAGGAAUAUUGGUCAAUGGGCGCGAGCCUGAACCAGCCAAGUAGCGUGAAGGAUGACUGCCCUACGGGUUGUAAACUUCUUUUAUAAAGGAAUAAAGUGAGGCACGUGUGCCUUUUUGUAUGUACUUUAUGAAUAAGGAUCGGCUAACGCCGUUCCAGCAGCAGCGGUAAUACGGAGGGUCCGUGCGUUAUCCGGAUUGAUUGGGUUUAAAGGGAGCGUAGAUGGGUUGUUAAGUCAGGUGUGAAAGUUUGGGGCUCAACCGUAAAAUUGCAAUUGAUACUGGCAGUCUUGAGUACAGUUGAGGUAGGCGGAAUUCGGGGUGUAGCGGUGAAAUGCUUAGAUAUCACGAAGAACUCCGAUUGCGAAGGCAGCUUACUAGACUGCCACUGACAUUGAUGCUCGAAAGUGUGGGUAGCAAACAGGAUUAGAUACCCUGGUAGUC